UGCAUGCUUUUCAAUGGAGGGACCAAGCAGUUUCUUUGUUGGAAAGAAUUUUCUUGACAUGGAUCGAUAAUUGAUGUCAUUGAGUAGAGUGCUGAUCUUAAAGGCCGGUUGCUUCUGAUGUGCUCAGUUUGGUUGCUAUGCUUGCCUGAGAAGGAUUGGCUAGAGUGCAUUGGAGAGUCUUCAGAUACUCUGAGAUCACCACAUGAGCUAUGGGCUAGAUGAAUCUUCGCAUGCCACCGAAUACCGGCCAUUUAUUGCAUAAGAUUC
Molecule: long non-coding RNA, 267 nt
Filed under: Phoenix dactylifera (date palm)
Lineage: Eukaryota; Viridiplantae; Streptophyta; Magnoliopsida; Arecales; Arecaceae
Description: long non-coding RNA (PDAC_LNC003652)
Source: RNAcentral